Molecule: ribosomal RNA, 494 nt
Filed under: uncultured bacterium
Lineage: Bacteria
Description: partial 16S ribosomal RNA
Rfam family: Bacterial small subunit ribosomal RNA
Source: RNAcentral
GACGAACGCUGGCGGCGUGCUUAACACAUGCAGGUCGAACGGAAAGGCCUGCUUUCCCUUGUGGAUUGCGGGUACUCGAGUGGCGAACGGGUGAGUAACACGUGAGUGAUCUGCCCCCAACUUGGGUAUAAGCCUGGGAAACUGGGUCUAAUUCCCGAUAGGACUGCAGGGUGGUGCCUGUGGUGGAAAACGAUUUUCUAGUGGUUGGGGAUGAGCUCGCGGCCUAUCAGCUUGUUGGUGGGGUAAUGGCCUACCAAGGCGGCGACGGGUAGCCGGCCUGAGAGGGUGGACGGCCACAUUGGGACUGAGAUACGGCCCAGACUCCUACGGGAGGCAGCAGUGGGGAAUAGUGCACAAUGGGCGGAAGCCUGAUGCAGCGACGCCGCGUGGGGGAUGACGGCCUUCGGGUUGUAAACUCCUUUCGACCGCGAGGAAGCCACCUGGUUGGAAGGGUGGUGACGGUAGUGGUAGAAGAAGCACCGGCUAACUACGUG